GACGAACGCUGGCGGCGUGCUUAACACAUGCAAGUCGAACGGAAAGGCCCUGCUUUUGUGGGGUGCUCGAGUGGCGAACGGGUGAGUAACACGUGAGUAACCUGCCCUUGACUUUGGGAUAACUUCAGGAAACUGGGGCUAAUACCGGAUAGGAGCUCCUGCUGCAUGGUGGGGGUUGGAAAGUUUCGGCGGUUGGGGAUGGACUCGCGGCUUAUCAGCUUGUUGGUGGGGUAGUGGCUUACCAAGGCUUUGACGGGUAGCCGGCCUGAGAGGGUGACCGGCCACAAUGGGCCUGAGAUACGGACCAGACUCCUACGGGAGGCAGCAGUGGGGAAUAUUGCACAAUGGGCGGAAGCCUGAUGCAGCAACGCCGCGUGCGGGAUGACGGCCUUCGGGUUGUAAACCGCUUUCGCCUGUGACGAAGCGUGAGUGACGGUAAUGGGUAAAGAAGCACCGGCUAACUACGUG
This 468-nucleotide ribosomal RNA is filed under the name uncultured bacterium. RNAcentral describes it as "partial 16S ribosomal RNA". It matches the Rfam family "Bacterial small subunit ribosomal RNA", at positions 28 to 507 of the family's 1533-position model. The record is from RNAcentral.